This 253-nucleotide ribosomal RNA is filed under the name uncultured bacterium. RNAcentral describes it as "partial 16S ribosomal RNA". It matches the Rfam family "Bacterial small subunit ribosomal RNA", at positions 524 to 776 of the family's 1533-position model. The record is from RNAcentral.
UACGGAGGGUGCAAGCGUUAUCCGGAUUCACUGGGUUUACAGGGUGUGUAGGUGGGUUGGUAAGUCAGUGGUGAAAUCUCCGGGCUUAACCCGGAAACUGCCAUUGAUACUAUCAGUCUUGAAUACCGUGGAGGUUAGCGGAAUAUGUCAUGUAGAGGUGAAAUGCUUAGAUAUGACAUAGAACACCAAGUGCGAAGGCAGCUGGCUAGAUGAAUAUUGACACUGAUGCACGAAAGCGUGGGGAUCAAACAGG